RNAcentral lists this unclassified non-coding RNA (240 nucleotides) under soil metagenome. Its description in RNAcentral is "partial contains 5.8S ribosomal RNA, internal transcribed spacer 2, and large subunit ribosomal RNA". The record is from RNAcentral.
AACGCACGAGACCUGCGGACCUGCGGAAGGAUCAUUAAUGAGAAGCUGCCCCUCGUGGGUAGACCUCCCACCCUCUGUGAACUUACUUUUGUUGCUUUGGCAGGCCCGUCCUCUGGACCGCCGGCUUCGGCUGGCCCGUGCCUGCCAGAGGAUUCCAAACCCUGUCUGUCAGUGUUGUCUGAGUCUAUAUGAAAUCGUUAAAACUUUUAACAAUGGAUCUCUAGAUCGGAAGAGCACACG